GAAACUGCCGGUAAUACCGGAUAAUGUCCCCGGACCAAAGGUGUGAUUCCGCCUGGGGAGCGGCCUGCGUCCUAUUAGGUUGUUGGUGGGGUAAUGGCCUACCAAGCCGAAGAUGGGUACCGGGUGUGAGAGUAUGGCCCGGCUCACUGGGACUGAGACACUGCCCAGACACCUACGGGUGGCUGCAGUCGAGAAUCUUCCGCAAUGGGCGCAAGCCUGACGGAGCGACGCCGCGUGCGGGAUGAAGGCCUUCGGGUUGUAAACCGCUGUCAGAGAGGCGGAAAUGCAUGUGGGCUAUCCCAUGUGUUUGACCUAAUCUCAGAGGAAGCGCAGGCUAAGUUCGUGCCAGCAGCCGCGGUAACACGAACUGCGCGAACGUUAUUCGGAAUCACUGGGCUUAAAGAGUCCGUAGGCGGCUUGGAAGGUGGGGUGUGAAAUCCCACAGCUCAACUGUGGAACUGCGCUCCAAACCGUCAAGCUAGAGGGAGUUAGGGGUGAGCGGAACUGAUGGUGGAGCGGUGAAAUGCGUUGAUAUCAUCAGGAACACCGGUGGCGAAGGCGGCUCACUGGAGCUCUUCUGACGCU
This 585-nucleotide ribosomal RNA is filed under the name uncultured bacterium. Its description in RNAcentral is "bacterial SSU rRNA". It matches the Rfam family "Bacterial small subunit ribosomal RNA", at positions 153 to 747 of the family's 1533-position model. The record is from RNAcentral.